AACGGGGCCAGGAGGCCAACAAUGUGCCAAAGAUUUUAAGAGGCUUUUCUGUCUCCCAAGAAAACCAAACUAACCUGACCUAUGCCAAAAAUAUUUGUCGCUCGAGAUUGUAAGUUCAUCAAUUUUCUGUUGUACUUUCCUAAGAAGGCUUCCAGAGGAGGAGUGUGAAAGAUACAAACUUAUCACAAAUGAACCUGCAUAUCAAUCAAAU
RNAcentral lists this unclassified non-coding RNA (211 nucleotides) under Hevea brasiliensis (rubber tree). The record is from RNAcentral. Lineage: Eukaryota; Viridiplantae; Streptophyta; Magnoliopsida; Malpighiales; Euphorbiaceae.